CCUACGGGAGGCAGCAGUGGGGAAUAUUGCGCAAUGGGCGAAAGCCUGACGCAGCGACGCCGCGUGAGGGAUGAAGGUCUUCGGAUCGUAAACCUCUGUCAGCAGGGAAGAACGGUCACUGUGCUAAUCAGCAGUGAAUUGACGGUACCUGCAAAGGAAGCACCGGCUAACUCCGUGCCAGCAGCCGCGGUAAUACGGAGGUUGCGAGCGUUAAUCGGAAUUACUGGGCGUAAAGGGCUCGUAGGCGGUAUGUCAAGUCAAGUGUGAAAUCCCAGUGCUCAACGUGGGAACUGCAUUUGAAACUGGCAAACUGGAGUGUGUGAGAGGAUAGUGGAAUUCCGGGUGUAGGAGUGAAAUCCGUAGAUAUAUGGAGGAACAUCAGUGGCGAAGGCGAAUAUCUGGAAAAUAACUGACGCUGAGGAGCGAAAGCGUGGGUAGCAAACAGGAUUAGAUACCCCUGUAGUC
RNAcentral lists this ribosomal RNA (465 nucleotides) under uncultured bacterium. RNAcentral describes it as "partial 16S ribosomal RNA". It matches the Rfam family "Bacterial small subunit ribosomal RNA", at positions 338 to 795 of the family's 1533-position model. The record is from RNAcentral.